RNAcentral lists this ribosomal RNA (207 nucleotides) under uncultured bacterium. Its description in RNAcentral is "partial 16S ribosomal RNA". It matches the Rfam family "Bacterial small subunit ribosomal RNA", at positions 568 to 774 of the family's 1533-position model. The record is from RNAcentral.
CGUGUAGGCGGUCUCGUAUGUCUGACGUGAAAGCCCCGGGCUCAACCCGGGAAGUGCGUUGGAAACUGCGAGACUAGGGUCUCGGAGAGGAAGGUGGAAUUCCAGGUGUAGCGGUGAAAUGCGUAGAUAUCUGGAAGAACACCGGUGGCGAAGGCGGCCUUCUGGACGAUGACUGACGCUGAGACGCGAAAGCGUGGGGAGCAAACA